CCUGGCUCAGGAUGAACGCUAGCGGCAGGCUUAACACAUGCAAGUCGAGGGGCAUCGGGAGUAGCAAUACUGCCGGCGACCGGCGCAAGGGUGCGUAACGCGUGAGCAACAUGCCCGUAUCAGGGGGAUAAUCCAUGGAAACGUGGUCUAAUACCCCAUAGUAAUUAUGUAAGGCAUCUUAUAUAAUUUAAAGCUUUGGUGGAUACGGAUUGGCUCGCGUGACAUUAGCUAGAUGGUAAGGUAACGGCUUACCAUGGCUACGAUGUCUAGGGGUUCUGAGAGGAAGGUCCCCCACACUGGAACUGAGACACGGUCCAGACUCCUACGGGAGGCAGCAGUGAGGAAUAUUGGACAAUGGAUGGAAAUCUGAUCCAGCCAUGCCGCGUGCCAGGAAGACGGCCCUAUGGGUUGUAAACUGCUUUUGUAUGGGAGCAAUAAGGGCUACGCGUAGUCCGAUGAGAGUACCAUACGAAUAAGCACCGGCUAACUCCGUGCCAGCCGCCGC
This 505-nucleotide ribosomal RNA is filed under the name uncultured bacterium. RNAcentral's name for it is "bacterial SSU rRNA". It matches the Rfam family "Bacterial small subunit ribosomal RNA", at positions 18 to 518 of the family's 1533-position model. The record is from RNAcentral.